UCUCGGGUACUCUCACCCAGUUUCUCUCCUGUCUCUUUCUAUCACCCCUUUCUCCCUGCUUUUCCGCCUCCUCAGCACCUGCACAAAAUUAGACCAAGGGCCACAUGAAGAAGGACUGCAGGCCUGUGGCAGAGCAUCUGCUUUGCAUGCAGAAGAUCCCAGACUCAGCCCUUGGGAUCUCCAGAGGGAACUGGGAAUGUCCUCUGCCUCAAAUCCUGGAAGUGCAGCUGCACCACGCCCAUCCCUCAAGACAAUGAACUAGAUGGACCAACAGUCUCUGACUCAGGACAAGACAUGCCAUGGACCCCUGACCUAUGUUGCCUGGCAGUGCCUCUCCCGGGUUUCAGACUGGGUGUGUUUCUCACCUGUACCUGGAGAUGCCAUUGGGGACUGAGCCUGGGACCUACAAAACAGGUGCUCUGCCACUGAUCUAUGUCCCUUCCCUGAGUUAGAACAGACUGUGAUGGUCCACAAACUCCCCAGUGGCGUGCCUGGUGCUGCGUGUUUGGGAAGAAGUGAACUGCAGGUCCCAUUAAUUUAUUUGUCACGUGCAAGAAAUUUUGUUAAAUAAAUG
Rhineura floridana is the source of this 574-nucleotide long non-coding RNA. RefSeq lists it as uncharacterized. The record is from RefSeq and is a predicted model, not a curated record. Lineage: Eukaryota; Metazoa; Chordata; Lepidosauria; Squamata; Rhineuridae. The transcript has 3 exons.